AGUGAACGCUGGCGGUAUGCCUAACACAUGCAAGUCGAACGGCAGCACAGUAAGAGCUUGCUCUUACGGGUGGCGAGUGGCGGACGGGUGAGGAAUACAUCGGAAUCUACUUUUUCGUGGGGGAUAACGUAGGGAAACUUACGCUAAUACCGCAUACUACCUACGGGUGAAAGCAGGGGAUCUUCGGACCUUGCGCGAUUGAAUGAGCCGAUGUCGGAUUAGCUAGUUGGCGGGGUAAAGGCCCACCAAGGCGACGAUCCGUAGCUGGUCUGAGAGGAUGAUCAGCCACACUGGAACUGAGACACGGUCCAGACUCCUACGGGAGGCAGCAGUGGGGAAUAUUGGGCAAUGGGCGCAAGCCUGAUCCAGCCAUACCGCGUGGGUGAAGAAGGCCUUCGGGUUGUAAAGCCCUUUUGUUGGGAAAGAAAAGCAGCAGGUUAAUACGCCGCUGUUCUGACGGUACCUAAAGAAUAAGCACCGGCUAACUUCGUG
RNAcentral lists this ribosomal RNA (492 nucleotides) under uncultured bacterium. Its description in RNAcentral is "partial 16S ribosomal RNA". It matches the Rfam family "Bacterial small subunit ribosomal RNA", at positions 29 to 507 of the family's 1533-position model. The record is from RNAcentral.